Coregonus clupeaformis (lake whitefish) is the source of this 921-nucleotide long non-coding RNA. RefSeq lists it as uncharacterized. NCBI's taxonomy places the organism in Eukaryota, Metazoa, Chordata, Actinopteri, Salmoniformes, Salmonidae. The transcript has 3 exons. The record is from RefSeq and is a predicted model, not a curated record.
AGAGGUUACGGUUCCGCUAACGGACAACAACAUAACAGGGGAAGAGGAUGCAGACAAAGCUGGAAAGGGGCAGGAGAAUGGAGGAUAUCCCCAAGACACCUGGAUCGACUUUUUGAGAAAGUGUUGUGGUAGAAUGUUUGUACCUUGCUUGCUGUGGUGAUAAUCCUUCUCAUCAUAUUGCUCUGGCUGACAGUGGCUUUGCCAAACCAACAAACAAUACAAAAAGUUAAUAAAAUAAUCUCAAUGAAAGAUUUGUAAAACAGUUUCAGUAUAGUACAGUCAACAUUAAAAGAUCCCAGCUUUUUCAGAAAGUACAGUCUCUGUUGACUCUUUUUGUAGAUCAGGUCUGUACAUUUAUUCCACUGAAGCUUAUUGUUCAUGAGGACACCCAGAUAUUUGUAUUCCUCUACAAUCUAUAUGUUCUGACCUCUGAUAGAUGUUGCAGAGGUAGGUGUUGUACGCUUCCUGAAGUCUAUGCACAUCUCUUUGGUCUUGUUGGUAUUGAGGACCAAGUGUGAUUUGUCACACCACUCUACAAAGUCAUUUAGGAUGGUGUUCCUCGUCAUCAUGCAACAGGCUAAUCAAGGCAGUGUCAUCAGCGAACUUAAUGAGGUGUCUGUUAGGAUGGAAACUAGUACAACUAGUAGUGUACAGGAGUGGGGACAAAACACAUCCCUGAGGCGAGCCUGUGUUGGUGGUGCAUAUGUCCGACACGUGGGGAUCUACUCUGACCCGCUGUGACCUCUGGCUCAGGAAGUCUAACAGCCACAAAACCAUUCCCCCAUCUAAGGAGAAGUCCCUUAUGAGACUCUGUGCCAGAAUGUAAGGCUGGAUUGUGUUGAAGUCAGAAGAAAAGUCAACAGAAUAAUAAUAAUAUGCCAUUUAGCAGACGCUUUUAUCCAAAGCGACUUACAGUCAUGU